This 1447-nucleotide small RNA is filed under the name Arabidopsis thaliana (thale cress). RNAcentral's name for it is "ATSL165430". The record is from RNAcentral. Lineage: Eukaryota; Viridiplantae; Streptophyta; Magnoliopsida; Brassicales; Brassicaceae.
UUAAGAUGUUAAAAAGAGGAACCUUAGUUGUUAAAGAAAUCCAAAUCCGCUAGAUGUAUCAAAGUGUUGAGAAAGCUUCUCCUAAAGUUAAGAGAAAAGAAAAGAAUGAUUAGAAAAGGGCUUAAAAGAUUCAUGAAUGCAAUGGGUAGAGUUAAGUUCUUAUAUUGGGAUUGGAGAUGGGAUUACCAUUAGAGCUUCAUUUGAUGUACUCUGGAUAGAUGGGAUCUUAUCUCUGUAUGCAUAGCUUGGGACUUACCUUUAGCAUUCUACUAAAGCUUAAUCAUUUUUUUAGAGAUCCCCUGUUACUGAAGCCUAUUCAGUAAGGGACCAUCUUUGUCUCUUGACCUUUUACUUUAGCCAAAUGAGUUCAUUAAUGAUGCAUUGCUUGAUUCACGUUCCAGAAUUAAUGAAUGUUAAAGGGAUUGGUAGAUUUGAAAACAUGUGUAGGUCGAGCAUAUGAGUCGGAUUGAUUGAUAAUGAGGCAUGGCUAACAUUUUAAGUAGAAUUCGAUCUUGCAGCUUAGAACUUUCAACUAGGACAUUGAUUUCAUCUGGUUUAUCUGGGGCUUUGGCUUUGAGUCCCCGCUUUCAAACCUCACCUCCAGCUUGUUCUUGAUUGUUUGCUUGAGGGCAAGCAAAGACUAAGUUUGGGGGAGUUGAUAAGUGUGUAUUUUGCAUGUUUUGAGCAUCCAUUUGUCAUCACUUUAGCAUCAUAUCAUCACUGUUUUAUACCAUUUCUCAUCAUUUGUCAUCACUUUACAUGUUUAGGAUACAUUUGCAUGCAUGUUGCAUAUUUGCGUUGAUUUCAGGUGAUUUGGAGCUGUUGACAAGCUAUCUGGAAGAAGCGGACCUGAUCAUGACAAAACCACUCAACCCAGAGGUCGAGUAGGAGCUUCAAGAUCUCAAGAGACCACUCGAACCCCAGGUCGAGUAGAAGACAUCACAACUUCACCUCAACACUCGACCACGAAGUCGAGCGUCUUCAUCUCCAUCACCUGACCAUCACUCGAUCACAUCACUCGACCCCGAGGUCGAGUGUCUUCAUCCCAUCACCUGACCAUCACUCGAUCACAUCACUCGACCCCGAGGUCGAGUGUCUUCAUCCCAUCACCUGACCAUCACUCGAUCCAUCACUCGACCCCGAGGCCGAGUGUCUUCACCUUCAUUGCCAGACCACUACUUGACCUCAUCACUCCACCUGGAGGUCGAGUAUCACCAUCACCACCACUCGACUGCAUACUCGAUGACAAGCUUCAGAGCCUUCUUCAUUCCGCACUCAACUAGACACUCGAGCACAAGGAAGAAAAGAAGACUCCAGCUGUUCACUCGACCUCCCACUCGACCACAUGGGUCGAGUACAGUUCUUAAUCUGUCCCAAUACUUCGUCGUUUUGAGUAUUAGGGUUUCAGAAUAUUUGGCUAUAAGUAGCAUGUACUUCACAUUUUCGA